GGAACCGUGAAGGUCUCAGGGCGUCGAGGGCCGGGGGGGGGGGGGGGGGGGGGGAAGGGCAGCCAGCGCCACGCCCACGGAGCCCCGCCUCCGCACGGGGGGGGGGGGGGGGGGGGGGGUGCUUCCGGCCGCGGGAGCAGCACUUCCCCUGGAGGCGCCCGGGCCGCCGCGGAGGUCGGGACCGCGAGCCCCCCGCGUGGCGCCCCGCCCUGGCCGCCGACCGCUGCUCGCGCGCCCUCCACGCCCAACGGCAGCCUCCCGGGCCCCGCGGGUCCCCGCCCCCGGGUCCGCGUCCUGACUCGGCCACGCGCCGCCCCGGGCCCGCCCUCAGCGCCCCCGCGCCCCACGGCAGCCUCCGGGUUAGCCCCUUGCUGCGCGCCCGGGAAGCCGCCGCGGCCCGCGUGGGUGCGGGGCCCUCUGCUGCUGCGCCCCGCAGGCCCUCCCCUCCCUACAGCCCGUUGUAAGGAGCUCCCCUUUCUCUGUUUUAUUUGGAAGCUGAACAGGGUCAUUGACUCUUCCGGGGAGCCCAGAGAGCACAGCUGCAAGUCCCACUCUCCGGACUGGCCCGAAGGUGACCACUGAAAGAGAAGAAGAGUGAGAUUCCCACACAAGUGGAGGAAAACAAAUGAAACGGGGGAGGGCUUCAAGAGAAAUAUGAAGAAAGAAAAACCAGAAAGUAUAAAAUAAACUGAUUUUACAAAUACUGCUACCAAUACUGCAAAUAAAUUGAGAUGAAAGUUAAUGGACAAAGAUUGUUGGAUUGUGUUCAUUUAUUCAAAUGAUCUUUAAAAUUUACUUAAGAGAGAGCAACAGCACACAGUAGGGGGGGACGUUGUGCAGAGGGAGAGGGACAAGCAGACUCCUCACUGAGCAGGGAGCCUGCCUGGUGGCUAGAUCCCAGGACCCCAGAAUCAUGACCUGAGCCAAAGGCAAAUGGUUAACUGACUGAGCCACCCAGGCACCCCUGUUGGACUGGAUUUAAAACAAUAAGAACCACUUAUACUGCCUCUAGAGACACACUGAAAAUAUAAAAUUGACACCCAUACAGAGGGGUGUGCAAGACAAACCAAAAGAAAGCUGAAGCAGCCACAUUAAUAACAGGCUGUGGGCAGAGGUAUAAAGAAGAACACUAAAAAAAAAAAAAAGAAGAAAGAAAGAAAGAAAGAAAGAAAGAAAGAAAAAGAAAGAAAGAAGAGAAAGAAAGAAGAAAGAAAGAAAAGAAAGAAAGAAAGAAAGAAAGAAAGAAAGAAAGAAAGAAAGAAAGAAAGAAAGAAAGAAAAAAGAAAAAAAAGAAAGAAAAGAAAAGAAAAACACUGCUCAAUUUAGAGGGGAGAGCUAGACUUUCCUCUACUAUAGGAAGAAACUACAGGAAGAGUUCUAAACUCAUAUGCAAUUAAUAAUUGCUUUAAAAUAAAGUAGAAAUGACAAAACUAAAAUGAGAGAAACUGACAAAUGCUUAGUCUGAGUGAUGUCUCUCAGGGAGCUAUUUCAUGGGAAUCAGUGAGCUAGAGGGUCUUGAGGACAGAGGGUGCCGGGGCAGAAGAAAGACUAGAGUAUCAGAGUAUCAGUUGCUAGGAGGAGUACCUGGGAAGAGAAAGUGUGAGACAUGUUACUGCUUAUUACCCUGAUAAGUACCAGUAAACUUUAUCUUGAUUUAACACUUCAUUUUUUUAAAGAUUUAUUUAUUCAUAAGAGACACAGAGAGGCAGAGACACAGACAGAGGGAGAAGCAGGCUCCAUGCAGGGAGCCCGAUGUGGGAUUUGAUCCGGAGACCCCAGGAUCACACCCUGGGCCAAAGGCAGGUGUUCAGCCGCUGAGCCACCCAGGGAUCCUGAUUUAACACUUCAAAGUAUUAUUAUUUUUUUAACACUUCAAAUUAGAAUAAGGGUUUGAACAAGGUCUACAUGUUGCAUUUAGUGGAAAUGUAUCUUAAGUCUGUUAAUCCAUAACAAAACUAAAGGAACUCUGUUCCUUCUUUUUAAAAAAUCCCUUCCCAUUUAUUUUUUGGGGGAAUAAGUCAUUUACCCCAUAGAAGAUUUGAAUAACUACAUCCCUACUAUAUCUUUUAAUAUGUUCCUCUUUCCCCUGUAUUUUGUAUAUGCUGGUAGUUACAUUCAGAAGCUUGAUUAGAUCAGUUUGUUUCUCAUCAGGAAAGCUCUGUAGGUUGCAUUGUGCAAGAUUCUAUGGCUUCAUACCAGGAGGCACUUAAUACCCUCCUGGCAGAGUUAGGGUCACUCAUGGGUUCAGAGGGUCAGCUGAAUCUUCCAUUAUUUUCAUCAGUCUUCCACCUAUAGGCUUUUACUGCCAUUAUGACAUUGCCAACUCUUUCUUCUGCAUUUACUAGAUGGAAUUCUACACAUAACUUUCCUUCACCAAUUUGUCCUGAAAUGCAGUUCAUAGGGGAGAGUCAGGAUGUGAUUCUUCAACCAGCAAUUUUUUCAACAGUGGAUGACUGUAGUAGCAACUUUCAAAUGGCUAAUGGAAUGGAUUUUUAUAAUAUUUUAAACUUAUGCAUUUUAUAUAUUUGAUAUGUUUCUGUUCAGUACAGACAUUAUUCUUUUUGAUGAUGAAAUUGUUGGCUUUUUGGCCAUUCGGGGCCCUUCACUUUUGUCACCUUGUCCCUCUGGCAAAGGUCUCUUUCUGGAAGCAAACUUGCUUUCUGGCACAAGAUGUCCUAAACACAUUUUGUGUUAUUUCCUUCCCCAAAUCUCAAAGGAGCCCUAGUUCCUUUUAAAGGGAAAUGCUGAACUCCUCCAAGAGUGUUUGUGUUUACUGCUGGGAGGGACCUAGGAACACUGCCCACCCAGGACCAGAACGUUUAAACCAAAGUUUCACGGUGGGGGGUGCGGCCAAAGCAUACAGAACCCCAAAUACCGCUGCAUGAGGCAGGCCAGGGCUUCUGCCCACUUCCCCGGGGUGGCUCACCCUCAGUGUGCACUGCCCUUGAUGACUAAAAGCUCCAUUUUAAACCCAUGAUCUGUCUCCACCACGCCCGGGUCCAGUCCCAGUUCCCCCUGCCCUGACCAUCCCCUUCCACGGGAGCUGUGAAAAUAAUAGGAAACCUGGUUCAGAAGACACCGGGGAGGGAUCCCUGGGUGGCGCAGCGGUUUGGCGCCUGCCUUUGGCCCAGGGCGUGAUCCUGGAGUCCCGGGAUCGAGUCCCACGUCGGGCUCCCUGCAUGGCGCCUGCUUUUCCCUCUGCCUGUGUCUCUGCCUCUCUCUCUCUCUCUGUGACUAUCAUAAAUAAAUAAAAAUUAAAAAAAAAAUAAAAAAAAAGAAGACACCUGGAGGAGCGGGGGGGUGGGGGGGGUAGGCGGGGGAAGCUGGGAAGCCAGUAGGGGGACCUCUUGCAGCCCCUGCAUCCCUGUCCCCUCAGAGCCAGCUGGGGCCUCGCCAGUAGUCACUGCAGCCCUCCAGGUCCCCUGGGGAAGGACGGUUUCCUCCCUCCCGGCCUACAGCCCAGCCAAUGAGAAGCCGCUAAGCAUCCAGCUCCGCUCAGGCCAAGGGACGCUCUCUUUACAGCCGACCCUCCCAGCUCCCCCUGCCCCGAGCCUGGAGCCUGAGCGUGUAGAGCUCCUUUGUUCCAGGGCUCACCUGCCUCCUGCCCUAGCUGACUUGCCUGGGGGCUGCAAUUCCCUGCUGUUCCUGAACAAACCCAUUUCUGCUGGUCAAAUAACUGGCCCUUUCAUUUUUAAGGUUAACAGCCAUCAGGACUGGCUGCUUGGACCCCUGGUCCGUAGGCCACCGUUGGGGAGCACCCUCCCUCCAGAAGGGCACCAGCCACUCUAGCCAUGGCCACCUCCUGUUUGGGCCUCUCUGACGCCGGCUGGCAAUGUGCAGCCAAAGACCCAGAAUUUUUAAAAACCUUCCCUCUGUGGUGGGGGUGAAGUCCCUGCCCUAGGGCCAGGAGUGAGGGCAUGAGAGCAGCAGGGCCUACCCCGCCCCCCCAGCUGCUGGUCCUCCCUAGGUAUGGCUGUGGGUGAAUACAAACCACAACCAUGGGACAUCAUCCGGGCCAGCCUAGGCACAUUGGGACUGAUAGCUGAAUGCAAUGUGCAGCCCUGCCAGAGGUGGAGCCACAAAGGACACUGUUGGGACAGCUGACAGCAGGUGCAUGUGACCUGUGGCCUGGCCAAUACUGUCUUCUCUGUACCACACUUCUGGAUUUGGAUCAUUGUACCAGGGUAGUAGGAGAACAUGCUCGAGCUCAGUAACACUAAAGGAUGUUAAGUCCUUUAAGCAAAGGGGCCCGGGGUCUUGAACCUAAUCUCAAGUGGUUCAGGAACAAAAUGCAGACACAGACACAGGCAGAAUGCAAACUGCCCGCGGUUCUUGAUAAACCAUGUGCGGAAGUUUCUGUACUCCGCAACUUUUCUCCAAGCUGGAAAUUAUAUUAAAUUAAAAAUUACCUCCAAAUCCCCAAUAAGUUAAGCAUAAAACCUCCCACGACCUUCGGACCCCCACCCCAUGGCCCUCCCGAC
This 4481-nucleotide long non-coding RNA is filed under the name Canis lupus familiaris (dog). RNAcentral's name for it is "lncRNA (ENSCAFG00845016057.1)". Lineage: Eukaryota; Metazoa; Chordata; Mammalia; Carnivora; Canidae. The record is from RNAcentral.